This 1372-nucleotide ribosomal RNA is filed under the name uncultured bacterium. RNAcentral describes it as "bacterial SSU rRNA". It matches the Rfam family "Bacterial small subunit ribosomal RNA", at positions 28 to 1381 of the family's 1533-position model. The record is from RNAcentral.
GAUGAACGCUGGCGGCGUGCCUAAUACAUGCAAGUCGAGCGAACGGACGAGAAGCUUGCUUCUCUGAUGUUAGCGGCGGACGGGUGAGUAACACGUGGAUAACCUACCUAUAAGACUGGGAUAACUUCGGGAAACCGGAGCUAAUACCGGAUAAUAUUUUGAACCGCAUGGUUCAAAAGUGAAAGACGGUCUUGCUGUCACUUAUAGAUGGAUCCGCGCUGCAUUAGCUAGUUGGUAAGGUAACGGCUUACCAAGGCAACGAUGCAUAGCCGACCUGAGAGGGUGAUCGGCCACACUGGAACUGAGACACGGUCCAGACUCCUACGGGAGGCAGCAGUAGGGAAUCUUCCGCAAUGGGCGAAAGCCUGACGGAGCAACGCCGCGUGAGUGAUGAAGGUCUUCGGAUCGUAAAACUCUGUUAUUAGGGAAGAACAUAUAUGUAAGUAACUGUGCACAUCUUGACGGUACCUAAUCAGAAAGCCACGGCUAACUACGUGCCAGCAGCCGCGGUAAUACGUAGGUGGCAAGCGUUAUCCGGAAUUAUUGGGCGUAAAGCGCGCGUAGGCGGUUUUUUAAGUCUGAUGUGAAAGCCCACGGCUCAACCGUGGAGGGUCAUUGGAAACUGGAAAACUUGAGUGCAGAAGAGGAAAGUGGAAUUCCAUGUGUAGCGGUGAAAUGCGCAGAGAUAUGGAGGAACACCAGUGGCGAAGGCGACUUUCUGGUCUGUAACUGACGCUGAUGUGCGAAAGCGUGGGGAUCAAACAGGAUUAGAUACCCUGGUAGUCCACGCCGUAAACGAUGAGUGCUAAGUGUUAGGGGGUUUCCGCCCCUUAGUGCUGCAGCUAACGCAUUAAGCACUCCGCCUGGGGAGUACGACCGCAAGGUUGAAACUCAAAGGAAUUGACGGGGACCCGCACAAGCGGUGGAGCAUGUGGUUUAAUUCGAAGCAACGCGAAGAACCUUACCAAAUCUUGACAUCCUUUGACAACUCUAGAGAUAGAGCUUUCCCCUUCGGGGGACAAAGUGACAGGUGGUGCAUGGUUGUCGUCAGCUCGUGUCGUGAGAUGUUGGGUUAAGUCCCGCAACGAGCGCAACCCUUAAGCUUAGUUGCCAUCAUUAAGUUGGGCACUCUAAGUUGACUGCCGGUGACAAACCGGAGGAAGGUGGGGAUGACGUCAAAUCAUCAUGCCCCUUAUGAUUUGGGCUACACACGUGCUACAAUGGACAAUACAAAGGGCAGCGAAACCGCGAGGUCAAGCAAAUCCCAUAAAGUUGUUCUCAGUUCGGAUUGUAGUCUGCAACUCGACUACAUGAAGCUGGAAUCGCUAGUAAUCGUAGAUCAGCAUGCUACGGUGAAUACGUUCCCGGGUCU